GUCAGCUCCACUCCCAGACUGUUUCGUGAUCGGAGGCUUCCCUGGGGAUUCUGCUCCUUUGAUGGAUGAUUGACGGGACGAUAGAGAGAGAGAGAGAGAGAUCCUCAGGCUGCCGAUUUAUUGACAGAGGGAGACAGGGAAAUUCAAACUGCUGCUUAACACAGAGAGAGACACAGAGAGAGAGACUCGCUGCAGGUUCGAUUAAACUCCUCGUCUUAUAUGACCACAAACUGUCACCUCCUGACCUAGCAUUCCACCCCCACCCCCUCAAACAUUGUGAACAAUUCAGAUCGAGGGAGGAAGAAAGCCUUUAUCGCUCUCAGCACAGGGUAAAAACCUCAGCGCUAACAAACCACUUACUCUUCCUUUGACACUCUCAAGACAAGCGCAACGGGAUGACCCCCGACUCACGAGGAUUCCUGCAAAUGGAAGAAUGAUUUUUAAACUCCUUGGAUCCCAGAGCAACAACUCCCGGCAGAAUGAUUCCCUGUGGAACACAGUUUUGCAGCGCAAGCAGCUGGAUAUCUUCUAAAGCUCGUACUGCCUCUGCAGUUCUUUUUGUUAUUCUUGUGACUGUACAUCAAGGAACAUGCACUACCCUCAAAGAUCAAAAAGCAGUUUUCCAGCUUAAUGCACCUGAUGAAUACGGGACCCUUUCACCAGGAACAAACAUCCCUUCGCUUGGCAAUUUUACUCUCUGCAUUGACAUCAGGCUAAGACAGAAUAAUAUAAAUGGAAUGACAGCAUUUACCUACAACACAGACACCAAACGUAUUCAUUCCAGGUCCCUUCAUGAACUCGGCAUCAUGGUGAUAAACAAAAGACUGAUAAUCUGGUUGUUUCAUAGACAAAUUAAUGUAGGGGAAAUUAUUUCCUUAGCUAACUGGCACUCCUUGUGUUUAACAUGGAAUGGGCAAACUCGUGAAACACAUGUCUAUAUGAAUAAAACAAAUGUGCUUUCAAAAACACUGAACAAAAAUUACAGACUUGGCCAAAAUGGUAGCCUGGUGCUUGGUCGAAAGCACAGUCGAGGGCCAGACCGGUUGAAGGUGGACCCUGAGACAUUUGUUGGAGACUUGUAUUUAUUCAGAUUGUGGGAUCAUGCAAAAGAACAACAGUCAAUAUCUCAGCUGAACUGCGAAGAUGGGAAUGUCAUCACCUGGGACAGCCAACAAUGGGACUUCAUAGGAUCAAUCUUGGAAUAUGAUUAUUCACUGCCUUGCUGUUUAUCUCAGCAGCAAAAAGUUUUUGCAAAAAAUGAAGAAGAUGGAAGUGAAGAUGGGGAACGUGAGGACAAAGAAAACAACGAUGAAAACAGCAAUGAAGGAGAAGCACCACCAAGCACUGUAGCCUUCCUAGGCAGCACUGCUUUCACUGUUACGGCAUCUUCUCUAUCAAGCACAACAGGGAAUUCCUUUAUCAAUAUGACCUCUUCACCUGUGACAGCAAACAGAACUAUUAUUACUGAGACACCAUCUGCAGAGAACACAACAGCAAACAGAGCUACUGUUAAUGUGACGCCACCUGCAGAGAACACAACAGUGAACAGCGCCGGUGUUAAUGUGACACUUUUUCCACAGAUCACAACAGGCACUACUUUCUUGAAUGUUACAGCAUCUUCUCAAUCAAACACAACAGGCACUACUUUUUUCAAUGUUACAACAUCUACUCCAACAAACGCACCAGUGAGCAGCGCUGGUGUUAAUGUGACACCUUCUCCACAGAUCACAACAGGCACUACUUUCUUCAAUGUUACAGCAUCUUCUCCAUCAAACACAACAGCGAACAUUAUUAAUGGGACAUCCACUCCACAGAGCACAACAGGGAAAUCCCUUACCACUAUCGCCACCUCACCUGUGACAGCAAACAGCAGUAUUAUUAAUGUGACAUCACCUACACAGCACACAACAGGGAAUUCCCUUACUACUAUCGCCACCUCACCUGUGACAGUGAAUAGCACUUCUGUUUACGUGAGACACCCUCCACAGCACACUACAGCUACCAGCAGUAUUAUUAAUGUGACAUCACCUACACAGCACACAACAGUGAACAGCACUGCUGUUAAUGUGACACAUUCACCACCGCAGACAACAGGAAACAGCAGCAUUGUGAAUGGGUCAUCGUCCACAGAGCACACGACAGGGAAUUCCCUUACCAAUAUCGCCACCUCACCUGUGACAGCGAACAGCACUAUUGCUAAUGGGACAUCCAGUCCACAGAACACAACAGAAUAUCUAACAAAGACCAAUGCUACAGAGUUGAAUGAAACUGCCGUUGUUUUAAUUGUGAGCCAACUGGAGGAUAUUUUGCAAAUGGAGAGUAUAAGCGAGGAGCUUGCAAAAAUGCUCAUUAACAGGAUAAGCAUCCUCAUCAAUGUCUCCCCUGCUGCUGUUGCUUCAUCUUCCAGUAGGAUAAUAAAAAUUGUGGACAAAAUUGGUGAGAAGUUGAAUUUCACAACCGUCUCGGUAAACAUCACGGCCCCUUCUUUGGCUCUGGCUGUGGCCAAAAUCAAUGCCACUGGCUUCGGUGGGGCAGAUUUCAGCAUCAGCAACGUUACCGAUUUGCAGGUGUCCCUGGAUGAAAGAUCUCCUCAGGCCAGUUUUGCAGCUAUUGAACUUCCACCUUCCCUAUUGACCAAUCUUGCAUCAGAGGAGAGGGAUAAUGCUUCAAGAAUUCAGUUCUCUUUCUAUGGAAAAUCGACACUUUUCCAGGAUCCCAGCCUUGGGGAUACUUCUUCAUUGAACAGUUACAUUAUUGCAUCAAGCGUUACAAACCUCAACAUCAAUGACUUGGUGGAUCCAGUUCAAAUCACAUUCAAGAACAUUCAGGCCAGUCAGAAUAACUCAGAAGUAAAAUGUGUAUUCUGGGAUUUCACGAAAAACAAUGGCAAUGGUGGAUGGAAUUCGAGUGGUUGUAUAACAGUGCAGAAUCAAUCCAAUGAGACUGUAUGUAAAUGUAACCACCUGACACACUUUGGUGUCUUAUUGAUUAUUUCCAGAGAUUUGGCGAUUGAUCCAAUCCAGUACCGAAUCCUCAGUUUCAUUACGUACAUAGGCUGUGGCAUUUCUUCGAUUUGCUUGGCUAUGACUUUGGUGACAUACCUGAUUUUUGAAAAACUCCGCAAAGACUACCCCUCAAAGAUUCUAAUAAACCUUUGCACAGCCCUGCUGCUCCUCAAUAUGGUGUUCCUCAUUGAUUCUUGGAUUUCUGCUUAUGGUAUCGAAGGUCUGUGUAUCGCUGUGGCUGCCUUGCUCCAUUAUUUCCUAUUGGUUUCCUUCACCUGGAUGAGCCUCGAGGCCCUCCACAUGUACCUGGCUCUGGUUAAGGUCUUCAACACUUAUGUGCACAGAUACAUAUUGAAGUUCUGCAUUCUUGGUUGGGGCGUUCCUAUUGUGGUGGUAGCCAUUAUACUUUGCACUGAUACAAAAAACUAUGGAUUUGGAGAAUAUGGAAAACAGACCAAUAGCAGUAUGGACACAUUCUGCUGGAUCAACAAUGACACAGUGUUUUAUGUUUCUGCGGUUGGCUAUUUCUGUAUUAUGUUCCUCGUGAACCUCAGUAUGUUCAUUGUGGUCCUGAUUCAACUGUGCCAACUGAAAAGCAAGAAGCUGCAUCGCAAUGCACAGAGGAGCGUGUUACGAGACCUGAGAAGUGUGGCCGGCCUCACCUUCUUACUAGGAAUCACCUGGGGAUUUGCCUUCUUUGCAUGGGGCCCAGUUAACCUUGCGUUUAUCUACCUCUUUGCCAUCUUCAAUACUCUACAAGGAACCUUUAUCUUCAUUUUUCACUGUGCAGCCAAAGAAAAUGUUCAGAAACAGUGGAGGAGGUAUCUAUGCUGUGGCAAGUUGAGGCUGGCUGAAAAUUCAGACUGGAGCAGAACAGCAACAAAUAACACAAAGAAGCUACAGCCUCUGGUCCAAGCCAUCUCUCUGUCAUCAACUUCAAAUAACUCCUUACAGUCCACCUCCUCCCUUUAUCCAGUCCGGGACUACGCCUGUCACCCCAUUGUGAAUGGUGCUAAGCUUUAAAGUUGCAACCUCACACCCCUCAAGCAUAGAGGGAGUGAAAGGGAGGGAGGUUAGACUGAUGCAACAGCCAACAACUUCAAUAUGGAUUGGGAGUUUUUAUUGUAAGACUGACAACACAAACCCUGGGGUGUUCACCCAGUAUCUUCUAAAUGGAAAACAAUGGAACUUGAAGUGAGAGCUGGACUGCAUUAUUAAACCCUCCUCCUGGACUGCAUUAUAAAGGACAACCAUUCAAUGAGUUGGUAUUCAACCACCCUGUCUGAAAAUGGAAACUAAGCAAUAAUUUGCUUUCUUAAGUUUUUGAACUUCAGGAGUUUUUUGGAGACUACAGAUAAUACAACCGCAUCUAUAUAUAACAGAAUUAAGGCUAAUAGCAUAUGCAAUCCUAAUAAAUAUUAUUUGGAGCCUUAAGAUCUGUUCUUAAUUUCCAAAGAAAAUUAUGAAGGAAAGAUUUGAUUGCGUUAAGUUAUGGUUAUAAAAUGUUUCUAGGUGAUGACUGUGAGUGUGAACAUUAUGUGGAUGUCAAGGUACCAUUUUAAGCACAGCUGAAUGCAACUUGUAUCAAUUGUAAUGAAAAUUUCAGCUAAAAAGGGCAAAGCUUUCAGUAAUUUUCUUAUGACUGUCAAUUUUAUUGCUAAAAGGCAACCCUUCCUGUUUUAUCAUAGGGAUUAUUUUACUGAAAAAUAACACCUUAUAAACUCACUAUUCCUGAUCCUUGUAACUGCUGAAAUUUGACACAAUUGCAGAUGAAUUGCACAAGGCUUUAAAUAUAUGUGAAAUGGCUUACAUUAUCAUGUGAUAUUAAAUUUAUAGUAUUGCCUGAUAUUUAAUUUUACCAAUUUGAGUUGAAUGAAGAAUUUUGUCUGGCAUCUGUGCUUACUGACAGCAAAUCAGAGCCUAACUAAUUAUAUCUAAUAGGAGUGCUUAAUUUCAGUCAUUUAUGGUAGAAUUGAUGGUCUCUGUUACCUCCACAUGCAUUCCUAUACACAGGUGGCACCCAGUAUUGGGUUCCUUCAACACAACCUUGAGCAAAGUCCAUCAAUGGAGAUAAAACUUGAGAAGGAAAACAUGAUGUAAUGUUUUUUAGUAGAAAGUUGUCCACAUACGUUUCUAUGCACAGGAUUAUUUGAAAUGUAUGGCGUUGUGUAUCUAGGCUCCCAUAUCUAACAUGUGAAAGUAUGAGUGACAGUGUCACUCAGUCCAUUCUGAAACUUUUACUUCAGUUACAAUUUUUUCACACAAUGGUCAAAUCAUACAGCGCAGAAUAAGGCCACAGUGCCUGUGCAAUUAAGUACAGUACUUUCAAUAUCAUUCUGCUCAUUAUCCCCUCUCUUAUAAUUCUAUGGGCACAAUGCAUAAAAUGCAUUGUUGUUUUGUGUGUUUAUUAUUAUUCUAUGAGCAUAUAGGGUUAUCUUGGUUUAUUAUCCAUAUACAUGAAGAAAUGCGAGACAUAUUUACAAGCUUGGAGGCUGAAUUAAAUGGAGUAAGAUUUUAUAUAACCUGCAUGGUAAGACAGCACUUUAAAAAUGUGCUACUUGCUAUGUAUAAGAGUUUAAUCCUUGCAAGCUACAUGUGCAAUGUAUGCUAAGCUUUCACUAGCAUGGGCAGCCAACCUUCCGUGUACCAUAGAUUGAUCCGCAUCCUUCCUUGCUCACUGCUUUAAGUGUACAACAAUCCACAUUCUUAUCCAAUGAACCACCAGCAAAACUUUCAUUUUACACUUUUAUUAUUUAGUUUCUGAUUACAUUACAAUAUCACUUUUGAUUCUAUUAUUAUAGAAUGGCACACAAAAUGCCAUCCCAGCUAUAAUUGCAAAGAAUACAGUCCAAGCUACGUAAAUAAAAACCUACAGUGAUUUAUUUUCUGCUGCUCUAAGCUUCACAUUCCCUUCAUUCGAACAAGAUAACCACUGCUGAUUUUAUAAACAGUGUGCUGCCAGCUCAGUUUAAAGGCUGAUACAGCUCAUUAGCCUCUUUUUCUAGUUGUCGGCGUUGCACCUUCUCAAGUUGUGUAAUAUGCCACGUCAGGUUCUCACUUCCCUGAAUACUGAGAGUCUGAAGAGACAGAAAAAUCAAUACUUCAGCCUCAGUCAGGAUUAAUGUUAUCCUCCUGUUGCUUAUCACUGUGAGUUCUUAUGCAUGUUGAAACAAAACAACUUGCAUUUAUAUAGCGCCUUUCAUGACUUCAGUAUGUCUCAAAUCAUUUUGCAGCCAAUGAAGUACUUUUUGAAAUGUAGUCACAGCCACAAUGUGGGGAAGCAUGGCAGCCAACUUUUACCCACAAACAGCUUCGAGAUGUUGACCAAAUCGUGUUUCCUCCACAAUCAAUGAAGAUUUAUUUUUUGAUUAAGCUGAGACACAUUACAAAGUUUCUUGUUUGGAAGUACAGAAAGGCUGCAUUGUAUUGAUGUUUUUUUUUAGUGAACUAGAACAGGUACUUUUUGAUUUAGCUCCCCCAUUCUUUAAGUGCUCUGUUUAGAAACACUGGUAAAAGUUGAUUGGGAAGGAAGCAACAUGAUAGAAUCUACCUGCCCUCACAAGGUCCACAUAAUGUCACAGAAAAUAUCCAGACAAGGAUUUACAAAUUUCAGCAAAUACAGCUAUUAAUGUUAGAGUACAUCUUAACUCUUGCUUGAUCUUGAUAUAGUUUUUUUUAUCCAUAGUUAUAUAUAAGAAUAAUAUUUUUCCACUAUUCUAUUAUAAAUUAACUGUAUCUAUUGCAGGCAGUAGGUACUUUUUAAUAAUUGUUUAUGUUGCUGUUAGACCUUUAGUGUGUUGGGAACCUUGUUUAUAUGAUAUGAGAUAAUUAAGAAUGCAUUUAUUAAAGAGAAGGACUGCAACGUUUUUAAGUUGAUUCAGUUCAAAGGAACAGUUUUCAUUGCUUUCAUCUGUUCCAGUCUGAAUGCAGCACAUUUAUUGGAUUUUGUAUUUUUCAUUUGUACUUUCUAGAACAUUUAAAAAUGCUGAGCAGCUAAUUUGAGUGGCAAUGUGAUAAGACAUGUUUGUUCCUUCGUAUAUAAACCUGGCAGAAUGUUUUAGAGCUACAAGUCAACCAUGCAGAGCCUGACUACUGCCAUGUUGGAUGAGUUCAAGGUCUUACAUGCAUCCAUAGAUUGGUAUGAAUUUGUAUCCACAAUCAAAUACAGGGAGCUCCCCAUUUCAAGGCCACUUGAAUCGGUCCUUGUUCUAGUCCUACUCAGGCUCCCCCCCACACCCCCGCACAACUCUUUCUCCGGUACAUUGAUGACUGUUUCGGUGCCGCUUCAUGCUCUCGUCUGGACCUGAAAUGAUUUAUUAAUUUUGCUUCCAAUUUCCACCCCUCCAUCACUUUCACGUGGUCUAUCCCUGACAUUUCCUUUCCCCUCCUUGACCUCUCUGCCUCAAUUUCUGGUGAUAGACUGUCCACCAAUAUCCAUUACAAGCCUACCGACUCCCACAGCUACCUCGACUACAGCUCCUCACACCCGGCU
Carcharodon carcharias (great white shark) is the source of this 7497-nucleotide RNA transcript. It is a transcript of the gene named adhesion G-protein coupled receptor G2-like, with no coding region annotated. Lineage: Eukaryota; Metazoa; Chordata; Chondrichthyes; Lamniformes; Lamnidae. The record is from RefSeq and is a predicted model, not a curated record. The transcript is spliced from 38 exons.